This is a non-coding RNA of Triticum aestivum (bread wheat), 135 nucleotides long. NCBI's taxonomy places the organism in Eukaryota, Viridiplantae, Streptophyta, Magnoliopsida, Poales, Poaceae. The record is from Rfam.
CAUAUACUCCCUCCAUCCCAAAAUUCCUGUCUUAGAUUUGUCUAGAUACGGCUGUAUCUAGUCAUGUUUUAGUGUUAGAUACAUUUGUAUCUGGACAAACCUAAGACAAGAAUUUUGGGACGGAGGUAAUAUAUG